Ooceraea biroi (clonal raider ant) is the source of this 1124-nucleotide long non-coding RNA. RefSeq lists it as uncharacterized. The record is from RefSeq and is a predicted model, not a curated record. NCBI's taxonomy places the organism in Eukaryota, Metazoa, Arthropoda, Insecta, Hymenoptera, Formicidae.
AACCUUUUAUUCUAGCCUUCUUUCUAGUGUUGAGGCCAAUGACGUAUAUAUGGCAUUGUGUGUCGCGCGAGUGUGUUAAUAGAGGUGCGUUCCACUUGACGCUCCCAAUGAUCGCGCACGUCAUUCUGUCUUUACUUGGUCACUGAACAUUGAAUAAAGAUAGAAUGAUGCUCGCGAUCGGUAGGAGCGUCAAGUGGAACGUACCCUUCUUCUGUUUGUUAAUGGUGAGUACGUGCCGAUUGUGAAUAUCGUCGUCGUUGAAUAGUGUCGCGCAGUAUAAAAGGAGUUUUAAGAGACGAGAGAAGAAAAUAGUGAAGAACUUGUGGUUCUUUAAUUAUAAAUAUUGGUGGUAUACCUGUAGAAUUUUACAAGAUUGUGGUGCACAAAAACGGGUUGCUUUGCGCCCAUAAGGACGGGUCGCUGUGCGCCUACAAAGACGGGACGCUGUGCGCCUACAAAGACGGGAUGCUGUGCGCCUACCAAGACGGGACGCUGUGCUUCUACAAAAACAGGAUAUUGUGCGGCUACAAAGACGGGACGCUGGGCGCCUACCAAGACGAGACGCUGUGCUCCUACAAAAACAGGAUAUUGUGCGGCUACAAAGACGGGACACUGUGCGCCUACAAAGACGGGUCGUUGUGCGCCUACAAGGACUGGUCGCUGUGCUUUUAUAAUACAUCUAUAAAAAGUCUAUAAAAAGUAUAUACAUAUAUUUUUACGCGUGUAUACACACAUAGACAUAUAUCAUUAUUAUAUUAUAUAUAUAAAUAAAGAAAAUGUCUGUACAAAAGAUAAAUAGUAUUGUGACAUUUACUGAAAAAAAUAAGAAUGAAAUUGUUCGUGGUGAAUGGUUAUGGGAUGAUGAUAUGAAUCGUUUCAGUUAUCUUUUACAAAAUUAUUCCAAUUAUAGACCUGUUGAAACGUGGCGAGUGCAAUUACUUGAUACAAUACAACCCAUACCGACAAAUGAAAAGCAUAUACAAUUUUUGUAUAGUCCAUUAUCGAGAGGUAAUACGAAUGGUAAUUGCUUAUUGUAUAGAAGAGGUCAUUGGGUAUGUAGUUAUUACGAUAGAAAAAAUAUAUUUAUUUACGAUUCUUUAAAUAAUAAAAGAUUAGAGAAGGAU